Long non-coding RNA from Cercocebus atys (sooty mangabey), 1641 nucleotides. RefSeq lists it as uncharacterized. The record is from RefSeq and is a predicted model, not a curated record. Lineage: Eukaryota; Metazoa; Chordata; Mammalia; Primates; Cercopithecidae. The transcript has 5 exons.
UUUCCGGAAACCCGGCGGACGCUGGGGCUGCAGGUGGAGUACAGGUGCGCAGUGGGAAGUGUGAUUGCGCAGUGUUGGGCUGUUCGGCCAAGCGUCCGCAGGACAUGGGACGCUGGUGGGUCAGCGGCGUGAAGUCCUCGCCUUCAGCGUCCGCGGCUGGGAAAUUGGCUGUCGCCACGGCGGGAACUAGGACUCUGGCUGCGUCCCGGCCCUUCCUCAUCAGUCCACCGGACUCUUGGGCGCGCGCACUGGCGCUGAUGUAGUUUCCUUACCUCUGACCCGUAUUGUCUUGAAAUUAAAGGAAUUGGGAGCUGCUUUUGCUAUUCUUCUAUCUUGGAUGCAUUGGAAGGUCCAGAUUUUGAAGAAAUCUCUCUAGAGGUUGAACAGAGCUGCUCCUGGAUCCCGCAGCAGCGAGGAGACCUGAAGACCAGAGGAAACACAGCAAUCCCUGGAUCCUCCUGGAAUCCCCGAUCCCUGUUGCUCCCUCGGGGAGGUUUCUAGUCCCUCUGACUUGAAGCAUGGCUUUCAGAGCCCGGCGCCACCCAGCUUGGGUAUCUGGUGAGUUCUGUGGUGUGCACGUCCACGUUUGUGACAUUCUGGGAAGGGUGGCCCAGGCUGUGAUUUGCCAUCUACUGCUGCGGGCUAUGCAUGGUAUUCAGAAGGGAGGGGAGAUGCCGUGUGCGUGUUCUGAAGGGUUUCCCACUACACAGACCAACCCUCUCCAUAACUAUUUGAUUUUUACUUCAUCUCCUCGUUGACUUCACAGUGUCAGUGCAGUUUGUGUAAUCAUCUCUACGGGGUGAUGCAGGCAGAUAUAAAGUCUGCACGUGUGGGCAAACUCUCCACAUCAUGUCAUUUAUUGUCCAUCAUUACAUGUCUAUGGUGUCUCGCUCAUUUCUCUCAUUUUCUGUCAUUUUACCUACUUUUACCUGAAGUACAAUGACUAUUUAAUAACUAUUAUUUCAAUACACCUCUAUGGUAUUUUUUCACCUCACAUUGGACCUUCCUCCCUCACUGGACUUCAAUGGUGGGACCUGCAGGUCUCAGGCCUUCUGGGAUGUCCCAGUUUUACUUGAAUGUUCUCUCUGGCCGGCUCAGGCCGGAGCAGUGGGUGUUGGCGCCACCCUGUGGCUAUAGGUGAUAAGCCGGCUGUUCUUGACUGAUCCCUGUCUUACCUUGAACCCUGGAGUUCUCACAUGCGUGGAUUUAAACGCUGUGUCUUUCUAAGGGCAGAUUGUGCCCAUUUUCCUUCUCUCCCUCUCAAGACACUGUUUCCUGUGUUUAUUGACUCCCCGUUUUUUUUUUAAAAAGAGAUAUAUAUAGAUAGAUGAAUUAGAUUGUACCCCAUAAAUUGCAUGUUUUAAAAAUACUUCAAAGAAUAGUUUUUCAUUUUUUUCUUGCUGAUUUUUACCUAUCUUAUAAAUUGUAUAUGGGGUAUAAAAUGAUGUGAUUUUUCAAUACAGUGUGGAAUAAGAAUCAAAUUAAUCUAUCCGUUACCUCAAAUCCUUGACCUUUUUUUGUGGUGAGAAUGCUGUUUAUCACUUUCACUCAUCAGCUCCUGAUGUCUUCCAUGCUAGGGACAGGAAAGGCUCCACACUUGACUUUCCCUCCUGUUUUCUUUUUUUUUUUUUUUUUUUUUGA